RNAcentral lists this ribosomal RNA (301 nucleotides) under uncultured bacterium. Its description in RNAcentral is "partial 16S ribosomal RNA". It matches the Rfam family "Bacterial small subunit ribosomal RNA", at positions 509 to 807 of the family's 1533-position model. The record is from RNAcentral.
CAGCCGCCGCGGUAAUACGUAGGGUCCGAGCGUUGUCCGGAAUUAUUGGGCGUAAAGGGCUCGUAGGCGGUUUGUUGCGUCGGGAGUGAAAACCCAGGGCUUAACUUUGGGCUUGCUUUCGAUACGGGCAGACUUGAGGCAUUGAGGGGAGAACGGAAUUCCUGGUGUAGCGGUGAAAUGCGUAGAUAUUCGGAAGAACACCAGUGGCGAAGGCGGCUCACUGGCUUAUACUGGACGCUGAGGUGCGAAAGCGUGGGGAGCAAACAGGAUUAGAUACCCCCGUAGUCCCUGUCUCUUAUAC